AUACGGAGGGGGCUAGCGUUGUUCGGAUUUACUGGGCGUAAAGGGCGCGUAGGCGGCCUGUUGCGUCAGGUGUGAAAGCUCCGGGCUCAACCUGGGAGGUGCACUUGAUACGGGCGGGCUCGAAUCCGGGAGAGGAUGGUGGAAUUCCCAGUGUAGAGGUGAAAUUCGUAGAUAUUGGGAAGAACACCGAUGGCGAAGGCAGCCAUCUGGCCCGGGAUUGACGCUGAGGCGCGAAAGCGUGGGGAGCAAACAGGAUUAGAUACCCCAGUAGUCC
RNAcentral lists this ribosomal RNA (274 nucleotides) under uncultured bacterium. RNAcentral's name for it is "partial 16S ribosomal RNA". It matches the Rfam family "Bacterial small subunit ribosomal RNA", at positions 523 to 796 of the family's 1533-position model. The record is from RNAcentral.